ACGUCAGUGUGUCCCUGUGUCACCAUGGGUAGGUUCUGAUUUGUGUGCAGACACAGUGUGUGGACGUAUGUGUUCCCUGCUGCACAUCGAUCUGGGAGUCACUAUGGGUCACACUGCACCACAUUUGACACUGCUGCUGUGUGUCAGUGUGUGUUGUGUCUCUUUGUGGAACUUGUGUGUGUGACACUGUGUAUCACUCAGCGUUGCGAUCCUGCAUCUUACAUCCGGGUGUAUGCCCUGUUGGGGGCCUCUCCCUUCCCUGCCAAGGAACACUCAAGGUGUGCUGUGUUUGUGUGGUUGUGGAUGAGCUUGUCUGGGGUCCUGGGUGGUCUUGUUGCCACCCUGGUGUGGGCUGCAAUCAAUGGGGGCACAUCUGGUGUUUUAUGUGACAGGUGGUUGUUUGUGAAAGGUUGUUUUUCUUGGGAAAUGGGUCAGUAUGUUGUGUCGCCAUAUGUUUACAUACGACUGUUUAUGCUUUGUGGUUGUGCAGCCACACAUCUUGAAAUACAGCGCGUGCGGGUGUCAUAUGUGACGCUCAGUUGUGGCUUGUGGGUCAGAGGGGAUGGCGUGUGUUACAUUUGGGGCAUAAUCCCUCCACCUCAGGGUAAUCAUCCCCGGUUGUGUUUGGUGUGGUCAAGAUGAACCAGUCUGGCCAGGUGUGGUGGCACACGCCUGUAAUCCCAGCAGUAUGGGGGACUGAGGCAGAAGGAUUGCAAGUUCGGGGCCAGCCUCAGCAACUUAGUGAGGCCCCAAGCAACUUAGUGAGACCCUUUCUUAAAAUAAAAAAUAACAAGGGCCGAGGAUGGGGCUCAGUGGUUAAGUAUCCCCAAGUUCAAUCUCUGGUACCAAAAAAAGAAAGGAUACAUUGUGCUGCUUGGGUCCCCUUAGGUGUGCCUGUGUCUGUCUCAGCAGGCAUUCAUUGAUCUGGGUCUCUGACCAUGCAUUUGAACCACGCUGUACACUGGGGCACGUUGUGUGUCCGGGUGAAUCAGUGUGUAUUGUGAAUCAUCCUCAUGAGCAUGUGAGCAUGUGCCUUGGCAUGGCCAUGCACUGCGAUGUGUGUCAGUGUGUGUUUCUCUAUGAGCUGUGUGGCCGGGGGCUGCCAUGGCCGUGUGCCUAGGUGUUGCGUGUUUGUG
RNAcentral lists this long non-coding RNA (1136 nucleotides) under Marmota monax (woodchuck). The record is from RNAcentral. Lineage: Eukaryota; Metazoa; Chordata; Mammalia; Rodentia; Sciuridae.